RNAcentral lists this ribosomal RNA (2902 nucleotides) under Escherichia coli. RNAcentral describes it as "23S ribosomal RNA". It matches the Rfam family "Bacterial large subunit ribosomal RNA". Lineage: Bacteria; Pseudomonadati; Pseudomonadota; Gammaproteobacteria; Enterobacterales; Enterobacteriaceae. The record is from RNAcentral.
UUAAGCGACUAAGCGUACACGGUGGAUGCCCUGGCAGUCAGAGGCGAUGAAGGACGUGCUAAUCUGCGAUAAGCGUCGGUAAGGUGAUAUGAACCGUUAUAACCGGCGAUUUCCGAAUGGGGAAACCCAGUGUGUUUCGACACACUAUCAUUAACUGAAUCCAUAGGUUAAUGAGGCGAACCGGGGGAACUGAAACAUCUAAGUACCCCGAGGAAAAGAAAUCAACCGAGAUUCCCCCAGUAGCGGCGAGCGAACGGGGAGCAGCCCAGAGCCUGAAUCAGUGUGUGUGUUAGUGGAAGCGUCUGGAAAGGCGCGCGAUACAGGGUGACAGCCCCGUACACAAAAAUGCACAUGCUGUGAGCUCGAUGAGUAGGGCGGGACACGUGGUAUCCUGUCUGAAUAUGGGGGACCAUCCUCCAAGGCUAAAUACUCCUGACUGACCGAUAGUGAACCAGUACCGUGAGGGAAAGGCGAAAAGAACCCCGGCGAGGGGAGUGAAAAAGAACCUGAAACCGUGUACGUACAAGCAGUGGGAGCCUCUUUAUGGGGUGACUGCGUACCUUUUGUAUAAUGGGUCAGCGACUUAUAUUCUGUAGCAAGGUUAACCGAAUAGGGGAGCCGAAGGGAAACCGAGUCUUAACUGGGCGUUAAGUUGCAGGGUAUAGACCCGAAACCCGGUGAUCUAGCCAUGGGCAGGUUGAAGGUUGGGUAACACUAACUGGAGGACCGAACCGACUAAUGUUGAAAAAUUAGCGGAUGACUUGUGGCUGGGGGUGAAAGGCCAAUCAAACCGGGAGAUAGCUGGUUCUCCCCGAAAGCUAUUUAGGUAGCGCCUCGUGAACUCAUCUCCGGGGGUAGAGCACUGUUUCGGCAAGGGGGUCAUCCCGACUUACCAACCCGAUGCAAACUGCGAAUACCGGAGAAUGUUAUCACGGGAGACACACGGCGGGUGCUAACGUCCGUCGUGAAGAGGGAAACAACCCAGACCGCCAGCUAAGGUCCCAAAGUCAUGGUUAAGUGGGAAACGAUGUGGGAAGGCCCAGACAGCCAGGAUGUUGGCUUAGAAGCAGCCAUCAUUUAAAGAAAGCGUAAUAGCUCACUGGUCGAGUCGGCCUGCGCGGAAGAUGUAACGGGGCUAAACCAUGCACCGAAGCUGCGGCAGCGACGCUUAUGCGUUGUUGGGUAGGGGAGCGUUCUGUAAGCCUGCGAAGGUGUACUGUGAGGUAUGCUGGAGGUAUCAGAAGUGCGAAUGCUGACAUAAGUAACGAUAAAGCGGGUGAAAAGCCCGCUCGCCGGAAGACCAAGGGUUCCUGUCCAACGUUAAUCGGGGCAGGGUGAGUCGACCCCUAAGGCGAGGCCGAAAGGCGUAGUCGAUGGGAAACAGGUUAAUAUUCCUGUACUUGGUGUUACUGCGAAGGGGGGACGGAGAAGGCUAUGUUGGCCGGGCGACGGUUGUCCCGGUUUAAGCGUGUAGGCUGGUUUUCCAGGCAAAUCCGGAAAAUCAAGGCUGAGGCGUGAUGACGAGGCACUACGGUGCUGAAGCAACAAAUGCCCUGCUUCCAGGAAAAGCCUCUAAGCAUCAGGUAACAUCAAAUCGUACCCCAAACCGACACAGGUGGUCAGGUAGAGAAUACCAAGGCGCUUGAGAGAACUCGGGUGAAGGAACUAGGCAAAAUGGUGCCGUAACUUCGGGAGAAGGCACGCUGAUACGUAGGUGAAGUCCCUUGCGGAUGGAGCUGAAAUCAGUCGAAGAUACCAGCUGGCUGCAACUGUUUAUUAAAAACACAGCACUGUGCAAACACGAAAGUGGACGUAUACGGUGUGACGCCUGCCCGGUGCCGGAAGGUUAAUUGAUGGGGUUAGCGGUAACGCGAAGCUCUUGAUCGAAGCCCCGGUAAACGGCGGCCGUAACUAUAACGGUCCUAAGGUAGCGAAAUUCCUUGUCGGGUAAGUUCCGACCUGCACGAAUGGCGUAAUGAUGGCCAGGCUGUCUCCACCCGAGACUCAGUGAAAUUGAACUCGCUGUGAAGAUGCAGUGUACCCGCGGCAAGACGGAAAGACCCCGUGAACCUUUACUAUAGCUUGACACUGAACAUUGAGCCUUGAUGUGUAGGAUAGGUGGGAGGCUUUGAAGUGUGGACGCCAGUCUGCAUGGAGCCGACCUUGAAAUACCACCCUUUAAUGUUUGAUGUUCUAACGUUGGCCCCUAAUCGGGGUUGCGGACAGUGUCUGGUGGGUAGUUUGACUGGGGCGGUCUCCUCCUAAAGAGUAACGGAGGAGCACGAAGGUUGGCUAAUCCUGGUCGGACAUCAGGAGGUUAGUGCAAUGGCAUAAGCCAGCUUGACUGCGAGCGUGACGGCGCGAGCAGGUGCGAAAGCAGGUCAUAGUGAUCCGGUGGUUCUGAAUGGAAGGGCCAUCGCUCAACGGAUAAAAGGUACUCCGGGGAUAACAGGCUGAUACCGCCCAAGAGUUCAUAUCGACGGCGGUGUUUGGCACCUCGAUGUCGGCUCAUCACAUCCUGGGGCUGAAGUAGGUCCCAAGGGUAUGGCUGUUCGCCAUUUAAAGUGGUACGCGAGCUGGGUUUAGAACGUCGUGAGACAGUUCGGUCCCUAUCUGCCGUGGGCGCUGGAGAACUGAGGGGGGCUGCUCCUAGUACGAGAGGACCGGAGUGGACGCAUCACUGGUGUUCGGGUUGUCAUGCCAAUGGCACUGCCCGGUAGCUAAAUGCGGAAGAGAUAAGUGCUGAAAGCAUCUAAGCACGAAACUUGCCCCGAGAUGAGUUCUCCCUGACUCCUUGAGAGUCCUGAAGGAACGUUGAAGACGACGACGUUGAUAGGCCGGGUGUGUAAGCGCAGCGAUGCGUUGAGCUAACCGGUACUAAUGAACCGUGAGGCUUAACCUU